This 770-nucleotide ribosomal RNA is filed under the name uncultured bacterium. RNAcentral describes it as "bacterial SSU rRNA". It matches the Rfam family "Bacterial small subunit ribosomal RNA", at positions 70 to 851 of the family's 1533-position model. The record is from RNAcentral.
CCCUUUGUAUUCGUAUGAAGGUGUCCUAGUGGCGAACGGGUGAGUAACACGUAGGUGACCUGCCCCGAAGCGGGGGACAACUCCGGGAAACUGGAGCUAAUACCCCAUGUUCUCCAUGGUGUUAGAGGACCAUGGAGCAAAGGAGCAAUCCACUUUGGGAGGGGCCUGCGGCCCAUCAGCUAGUUGGUAGGGUAAUGGCCUACCAAGGCUAUGACGGGUAGGGGACCUGAGAGGGUGGUCCCCCACACUGGAACUGAAACACGGACCAGACACCUACGGGUGGCAGCAGUAGGGAAUAUUGCACAAUGGGCGAAAGCCUGAUGCAGCAACGCCGCGUGCGCGAUGAAGGCCUUCGGGUUGUAAAGCGCUUUUCUGGGGGAAGAGGAAGGACGGUACCCCAGGAAUAAGUCUCGGCUAACUACGUGCCAGCAGCCGCGGUAAAACGUAGGAGGCGAGCGUUAUCCGGACUUACUGGGCGUAAAGCGCGUGUAGGCGGUUAGGUAAGUCGGACGUGAAAGCUCCCGGCUCAACUGGGAGAGGCCGUUCGAAACUACCUGACUUGAGGGCAGUAGAGGGAGGUGGAAUUCCGGGUGUAGCGGUGAAAUGCGUAGAUAUCCGGAGGAACACCAGUGGCGAAGGCGGCCUCCUGGGCUGACCCUGACGCUCAGACGCGAAAGCUAGGGUAGCAAACGGGAUUAGACACCCCGGUAGUCCUAGCUGUAAACGAUGCAGACUUGGUGUUGGCAGUUUAAACACUGUCAGUGCCGUAG